Long non-coding RNA from Ictalurus punctatus (channel catfish), 561 nucleotides. The record is from Ensembl. Lineage: Eukaryota; Metazoa; Chordata; Actinopteri; Siluriformes; Ictaluridae.
GUGACUGCAGUUGUUUUAUUCUUCGUUCUCGUGUCCUUUAUCCGAAAACCACGAGAAAGCAGGGUGAAAUUCAGGAUUGUGAAGGAGGGGUGGAAGAACAACUGUCCGAAGCCAGCGGACGUUUUGGCGGCAUGGAAACCAGCCACCAGACUCGUCAUCGAGACUGAUGAGGGCUUCUGCCAGAACGCGUCUCAGCAGACGUGGAAAGGCCUGGCCCUCAAAGGUUUUGGUGGAGAGAAAGGGCUAGGAGUUGUUGCAACCCAACCCUUUUCCAAGGGUGACAUCGUGUGUGAUGACCGUGGGAAGGUAAUCACAGCGGCCCAGGGAAAAGUCAUGAUGCAGAAUCUACAGGAUGAAGCACCAGAGUAGCUGUUUUUCUUCAGGACCGGGCAGAGGCAUCUCCGCAUCGACGCCCAGACUUUUCCCUGUGAAUGCCACCCCUGUGCAGACACUGUGGGCAGAAGACUGAAGCAUUCAUCCAAGCAAGCCGACCUGUGUCCGGAACCUUUCGUUUUGAAGCUUUGACCACCUUGAAUGAGGGGCACUUUAACAAGCCAUCCA